UGUAAACGGGUCUAAUCAUUUCCGCUUUUCACUUCCGUACACUGGUUGACUGCAGCGGUAGGUGAUCUCCUGGUAACUUCUAAGUUUCGCUUUAGUGUAUUCUAUUUAGUAUUUAGUAUUCUAUUUCGUGUGAUUAAAAUUUCAUUUUAACAUUUGUGAAAUUAAAAUUUCACAAAUGUUAAAAUGUUAAAAUACCAGAAACGGCAACAUCUGAACAGCAGUUUUUGUUGUGUGCCGAGCUGUUCUGUGUCGGGGAAAUUUAACUCUAGCGUAAGUUUCCACCAGUUUCCAAAGGAUGAGUCAGUUAGGGCGAUAUGGGUCCGAAACAUUAGGCGUGAUAAAUUCGUUAUAAGGAGACACACCACUGUCUGCAGUCGGCAUUUUAUGCCAGAAGAUGUCGUUGAAGGUGGCCGACGCCGUUUGAAACCCGGGGCGAUUCCGGUGUUGUUCGCCUGGAACAACUACAACCUGCCGGUCACUCGGCCAAGCGUGUGGCAAAGGACACAGCGGCAAGAGGAGGAGGAGGAUGAGGAUGAGGGUGAGGUGCCGAUCGAUGCCAGCGUGGCUUUGUGUCACGACUACGAUAGCAGACCAGAACCUGCAUUUAUGGACCUGGCCUACGAAAAAAUCCACGCACAGCAGCAGGUCAUCAUAGAGCUACAGAGGCGACUGGAGGAGGUUUCAUUGGGGCAGAAGUUUGGACUUGAAAGAUACAAGACCUCCGAUGAGGACAUCAGGUUUUACACGAGAUUUGCCAGCUACCGCCAUUUCAAUGCAUUUUGGUUGCAUCAGGUUGAACCUGUCAGUAGGAGAAUUGUCCGUGUUGGACAGUCUUCGUGAACCACAGUUCCUGAUGAGACUGCUGACCCACCACGUAGACCAAACCGCUGUCUACCGCUGAUUGAUGAGCUGUUCCUCUUUCUGGUCUAUCUGUCUCUGGGUCUGAAGGAGAGGGAUCUAGCGGACCGCUUCAACGUACAUCAAUCAACUGUUAGUAGAACAAUUAGGACCUGGGCUAAUUUUCUCUACACAGUUUUGGGUGCUGUGGGCAUUUGGAUGUCCCCUGAUGCAGUCCGUGCCAUGAUGCCUGACGUGUUUGAAAAGUACUCUGACACACAGGUGAUAGUAGACUGCACUGAACUAAAAUGUCAGACGCCUUCCUCGCUCCUUUUGCAGAGUGAGAUGUACUCCCAGUAUAAGUCUCAUACCACAGUAAAGGGAAUGAUUGGUGUGUCCCCGCACGGUGCCGUCACCUUUGUGUCAACACUGUACUCUGGUUCCAUUAGCGAUAAAGAACUGUUCAAGCAAUCUGGAAUCAUCCCUCUACUAGAUGAAAACAUGGCUGUAAUGGUUGAUAAAGGCUUUUCAAUUGAUGAUUUAGUACCGGGCAAAGUACACAGACCACCUUUUCUGGGAAGGAACUCUCAGCUGUCUCGUGAAGAUGUUUUAGCUACUCAGGAAAUUGCCAGGCUGAGAAUACACGUGGAGAGAGUGAUUAGGCGCAUAAAACAAAAUAAAUUAUUCGAUUCCAUCAUCCCUUUGACUAUUAAUGGUAGUAUCAACCAGCUUUUCGCAGUAGCCUGCCUUCUAUCUAAUUAUCAGAACAAACCACUGGUCAAGGCGUGGGCCAAAUAGAUCUUGAAAAAGAACUCGUCUGCCUUCUGUCUAAUUACUUUUGUGACCUCUGGGUCAACAACUAUUCGUUGGACCAGCA
This is an RNA transcript of Gadus morhua (Atlantic cod), 1714 nucleotides long. RefSeq lists it as uncharacterized. The transcript is spliced from 3 exons. The record is from RefSeq and is a predicted model, not a curated record. NCBI's taxonomy places the organism in Eukaryota, Metazoa, Chordata, Actinopteri, Gadiformes, Gadidae.